GAUGAACGCUGGCGGCGUGCCUAAUACAUGCAAGUCGAGCGAACGGACGAGAAGUUUGCUUCUUUGAUGUUAGCGGCGGACGGGUGAGUAACACGUGGAUAACCUACCUAUAAGACUGGGAUAAUUUCGGGAAACCGGAGCUAAUACCGGAUAAUAUUUUGAACCGCAUGGUUCAAAAGUGAAAGUCGGUCUUGCUGUCUCUUAUAGAUGGAUCCGCGCUGCAUUAGCUAGUUGGUAAGGUAACGGCUUACCAAGGCAACGAUGCAUAGCCGACCUGAGAGGGUGAUCGGCCACACUGGAACUGAGACACGGUCCAGACUCCUACGGGAGGCAGCAGUAGGGAACCUUCCGCAAUGGGCGAAAGCCUGACGGAGCAACGCCGCGUGUGUGAUGAAGGUCUUCGGAUCGUAAAACUCUGUUAUUAGGGAAGAACAUAUGUGUAAGUAACUGUGCACAUCUUGACGGUACCUAAUCAGAAAGCCACGGCUAACUACGUG
This 497-nucleotide ribosomal RNA is filed under the name uncultured bacterium. RNAcentral describes it as "partial 16S ribosomal RNA". It matches the Rfam family "Bacterial small subunit ribosomal RNA", at positions 28 to 507 of the family's 1533-position model. The record is from RNAcentral.